RNAcentral lists this long non-coding RNA (701 nucleotides) under Nicotiana benthamiana. RNAcentral describes it as "long non-coding RNA (NBEN_LNC007327)". The record is from RNAcentral. Lineage: Eukaryota; Viridiplantae; Streptophyta; Magnoliopsida; Solanales; Solanaceae.
UUAUUAUUAUAUUAUUGCAUUUUUCCUAAACUUCGUCAAGCCUAUCCGCUCAUUUGUUCCAAACCAGAGUUUCUAGUUUCAAGAUCGCGCUUUUAGUACGCGUGUGGUGAGAUGUUCCAAGCCCGGUAUCUACUGAUUUUGCCAUUCCUAUGAUUCAAAGGAUUCACCAGCUAUAGGGCAGUUAGCGCAGACAUCAAGUAAGGGCUCGUAGGCUACUCAUGCCAAAUAUCCGAUUUUUUGGCAGUUAGCGCAGACAGCAAGUAAGGGCUCGUAUGCUACUCAUUUUUCAAGGGGAAGAGAAGAGCUCCAGGUCAAGCCUCUUAUUAUAUUUAUUCUAUUGGGUCUACCCGUUGGGCCGGUAAGCGAGACAGAAGUCUCACUGUUCGUGGUGUUGCAAUGAAUUCAUUGGAUGAUAAUAGCAUAUAAAGAUUUUCUUACUACUUCCUCCUCUAUCUAAGUGUCAUGUUUUAGCUCAUAGGUGGUUCGUUUUGAAGUGACUUCAUCUAUAUGUUUAACACAUGCGUGUACUACUCGUUGUGUAGUAAAAUUUCCUGUCAGUCACGAUUGGAUUUGAAUCAAUAUAAAGCUUAGUAGAUCGUGAGUCUUGGUUCUUAGCGAAAUGCUACGCGCUAUCUUACAUACCAGUAAAAUUUCCAGUUAGUCACGAUUGGAUUUGAAUCAAUAUAAAGCUUAGUAGAUCG